UACGAAGGGGGCGAGCGUUGUUCGGAUUUACUGGGCGUAAAGGGUGCGUAGGCGGCUUUUUAAGUUUGGUGUGAAAUCUCCCGGCUCAACUGGGAGGGUGCGCCGAAUACUGAGAGGCUAGAGUGUGGGAGAGGAAAGUGGAAUUCCUGGUGUAGCGGUGAAAUGCGUAGAUAUCAGGAGGAACACCGGUGGUGUAAACGGCUUUCUGGACCAUAACUGACGCUGAGGCACGAAAGCGUGGGUAGCAAACAGG
This 253-nucleotide ribosomal RNA is filed under the name uncultured bacterium. RNAcentral describes it as "partial 16S ribosomal RNA". It matches the Rfam family "Bacterial small subunit ribosomal RNA", at positions 524 to 776 of the family's 1533-position model. The record is from RNAcentral.